This is a long non-coding RNA of Rhineura floridana, 1321 nucleotides long. RefSeq lists it as uncharacterized. The record is from RefSeq and is a predicted model, not a curated record. The transcript has 3 exons. Lineage: Eukaryota; Metazoa; Chordata; Lepidosauria; Squamata; Rhineuridae.
AGCAGGCAGUUAGUGGAAAGGCAGCUGCUGUGUAUUGUUCUUACUUCAGCCUUGAAGAUUUCUCCUGCGUACAAGCCUAGCUGUAAAGUUACCAGCCAACCUUUCAUAGCCACAAAAGCCUUGCUGGUGUCAAAAGUGCAGUUUUUGAAAGUUCAGAGACACUCAGUAUGAAAAAAAGAUGCACUGCUUCUGUGCUUCAUACACCCCCGGCCGGAGUCCUAGAUCCAGGGUGGGACUCUAUCUUGUUGACACCAUGCAGCAAAACGGGCUGAUCUAUAUGAACCAGCAAAAAAGCAAGGAGAGGGAGAGUGGCUGUGACUAACAUGAAGGGAGCCUGUAGCACUUCUGGAUUUGCCACUGCUGGGGACUGAAGAUCUUCUUCAUGCAAAGCUGAUCCUCUACCACCACUGAGCUAUGUGGUCCUUCCUCUUCUGAUGUUACCUUUGCACAACUCUUUGCCAUGCUGUUUUGGUAAAGAUGAGAAGCCCCAGGACAUACUGGGUGUUUCCCCUAACAGAAACUGCAGCUAAACUGGGAGGAAACUCUAAAGGUUUUAUUUCAGUCCAUCAAGGCAUUAUCAUUUUAUGACAUUGUGCAUUCAUAGGCACCUUGUCUGAUAAAUUCAUUUUGUGUCCUAAACAAGUUGUGCCCUAACCAUAAUUAGACUCUAGCGAGGCCUCUAAAAUCUAAAAUUUAACAUACAUUCAAAUAGCAGGUCGGUCAUGUUGUCAAGUUUUUCAAGAUUCCUGAAACACAAAUGAUGAGCCUGUGAUUCUAACAAACAAAAAAUAUUUUAAAAGGAUAUAUGUGUAGAUCUGCCAUGAAGUAAUGGAUAACAGCACCGCAGGGUGACUGAGGUUGGAUUUAGUCAUUCAAGAUUCUAACUUCUUUCAAAUCCCCCUAUACUUUCCUCUGACAAAGGCUUCCUGCAAAAUUGCAGCUUCCUCUUCCAGCUUCCUCUUCCACUGUCAUUUGAUUCACUCUCUUCCACAAACCUCCAUCUGUGGAUUGUAAAUGUUCCCCAUAUUCUGAUUUUAUCUGUUUAAUGUAGAUUAUAAAGUUAGCACAAACGGUGCAGCCUAUAUGACCUCUACUGCAUCUAAUAUGAUUCAGGCAAUAUUGGCAUGUAUCAGUAGAAUGUAUUCCCAUUGUUACUAAAGUCAAGACUUCUGUUUUGUGACAUUUCAUUAAAACAUUGUCCAUUUGAAAAACACACACUACGUAACAAGAUGUACAAGAACCCUUUAUCUGCUUCUUGCUUGUAUCUUGUAAGUCUAACCAUUUCUGUUAGAUGCAAAAUUAUCUAUCACUUUCAGACAAA